UACAGGAGAGACGGUCAUUCUUAUAUCGGGACAGCGAGAUCAUAGAAGAAACUCAAUCCCUCCACUCGCAAAGCAUUCUGCAUCCGAGAGCACAAGCGACUACCUAUGUGCCAAAGUAGCCAAAAAAGCAUACCAGGUACACGAUAGCCGCUGUAUGGUUCAUCCAAUGCCCCACCUUUGAUGGGGAAAAGAUGAAUAGCAUUACGCARCAAAAUUGGAUUCCGCUAAGUGGGUAUGCAACACAGAAACCCAUCCUUGCCCGACAUAGCAACAUGCCUUCGAGAC
This 285-nucleotide unclassified non-coding RNA is filed under the name Euphorbia perrieri. Its description in RNAcentral is "partial external transcribed spacer". The record is from RNAcentral. Lineage: Eukaryota; Viridiplantae; Streptophyta; Magnoliopsida; Malpighiales; Euphorbiaceae.